AACGAACGCUGGCGGCAUGCCUAACACAUGCAAGUCGAACGAGACCUUCGGGUCUAGUGGCGCACGGGUGCGUAACGCGUGGGAACCUGCCCUUAGGUUCGGAAUAACUCCCCGAAAGGGGUGCUAAUACCGGAUAAUGUCUUCGGACCAAAGAUUUAUCGCCUUUGGAUGGGCCCGCGUUGGAUUAGCUAGUUGGUAGGGUAAAAGCCUACCAAGGCGACGAGCCAUAGCUGGUCUGAGAGGAUGAUCAGCCACACUGGGACUGAGACACGGCCCAGACUCCUACGGGAGGCAGCAGUGGGGAAUAUUGGACAAUGGGCGAAAGCCUGAUCCAGCAAUGCCGUGUGAGUGAUGAAGGCCUUAGGGUUGUAUAGCUCUUUUACCCGGGAUGAUAAUGACAGUACCGGGAGAAUAAGCUCCGGCUAACUCCGUG
Molecule: ribosomal RNA, 433 nt
Filed under: uncultured bacterium
Lineage: Bacteria
Description: partial 16S ribosomal RNA
Rfam family: Bacterial small subunit ribosomal RNA
Source: RNAcentral